RNAcentral lists this ribosomal RNA (254 nucleotides) under uncultured bacterium. RNAcentral's name for it is "partial 16S ribosomal RNA". It matches the Rfam family "Bacterial small subunit ribosomal RNA", at positions 524 to 776 of the family's 1533-position model. The record is from RNAcentral.
UACGGGGGGAGCAAGCGUUGUUCGGAUUUACUGGGCGUAAAGGGCGCGUAGGCGGCCAGUGCAAGUCAGUUGUGAAAUCUCCGAGCUUAACUCGGAAAGGUCAACUGAUACUGCUCGGCUAGAGUGCGGAAGGGGCAACUGGAAUUCUUGGUGUAGCGGUGAAAUGCGUAGAUAUCAAGAGGAACACCUGCGGCGAAGGCGGGUUGCUGGGCCGACACUGACGCUGAAGCGCGAAAGCUAGGGGAGCAAACGGG